This 253-nucleotide ribosomal RNA is filed under the name uncultured bacterium. Its description in RNAcentral is "partial 16S ribosomal RNA". It matches the Rfam family "Bacterial small subunit ribosomal RNA", at positions 524 to 776 of the family's 1533-position model. The record is from RNAcentral.
UACGAAGGGUGCUAGCGUUGCUCGGAGUCACUGGGCGUAAAGGGUGCGUAGGCGGGUCUUUAAGUCUGGGGUGAAAUCCUGGAGCUCAACUCCAGAACUGCCUUUGAUACUGAGGAUCUUGAGUUCGGGAGAGGUGAGUGGAACUGCGAGUGUAGAGGUGAAAUUCGUAGAUAUUCGCAAGAACACCAGUGGCGAAGGCGGCUCACUGGCCCGAUACUGACGCUGAGGUGCGAAAGCGUGGGGAGCAAACAGG